UACGUAGGGUGCGAGCGUUGUCCGGAAUUACUGGGCGUAAAGAGCUCGUAGGCGGUUUGUUGCGUCUAUCGUGAAAACCUGCAGCUUAACUGUGGGCUUGCGGUGGAUACGGGCAGACUUGAGUUCGGUAGGGGAGACUGGAAUUCCUGGUGUAGCGGUGAAAUGCGCAGAUAUCAGGAGGAACACCGGUGGCGAAGGCGGGUCUCUGGGCCGAUACUGACGCUGAGGAGCGAAAGCGUGGGGAGCGAACAGG
Molecule: ribosomal RNA, 253 nt
Filed under: uncultured bacterium
Lineage: Bacteria
Description: partial 16S ribosomal RNA
Rfam family: Bacterial small subunit ribosomal RNA
Source: RNAcentral